UUCUAUUCUUCUAUUACCAUAUUUCCAAUAAUAAUAUAAUGUCUUAUAUUAACACUUUGGCCACUCACAUUCUUACUUUUUCUUUUUUUUUUUUUACACUCUCAUCUCGAUAAAUUUAUGUUACUUUUUUUUUUUUGCCAUAAAUCUCUCUCUCUCUCUCUCUUAAGUUAAGCACUACUGAACGAGAGAAUCAUCGAAGAAUUCUAAUUACUUAUAUAUCAUACAAAU
RNAcentral lists this long non-coding RNA (228 nucleotides) under Musa acuminata (dwarf banana). RNAcentral describes it as "long non-coding RNA (MACU_LNC007360)". Lineage: Eukaryota; Viridiplantae; Streptophyta; Magnoliopsida; Zingiberales; Musaceae. The record is from RNAcentral.